RNAcentral lists this long non-coding RNA (5095 nucleotides) under Manihot esculenta (cassava). Its description in RNAcentral is "long non-coding RNA (MESC_LNC009016)". The record is from RNAcentral. Lineage: Eukaryota; Viridiplantae; Streptophyta; Magnoliopsida; Malpighiales; Euphorbiaceae.
GAACAAUUACUUUGUGCUGUAAACGUUGCUGGUGCUCUAGAUUUACACUUUUCCUUGGUUGUUGCUAUGGUUCUUGAUCAUUCACUUUUCUUCUAAUGAUACCCUUAGUGGAUUUGUUAAAAGUUGAGAGGUCCUUUUGGUUUUCUUACUGCUUAUUACCAAUGAGUUGAUACUUAUUGAUAGCAAAAACAGAGAAGGACAGAACUAACCCACACUUUUCAUUGAAACAAAAUAUUAUUUAAAUACAAAAUAAAAAUAACUGAUGAUAAAGAUCAUGGUCCAUGAUUCUACCCACAAUCAAAACAUGGAAACAUGCUUAACAAAAAAAGAAUAAAUAAAUUUCCUAAAACUUGGUUACAGACUUACAGGUUGUAGACCAAGUCAUUUAACAACCCACCUAAACAGAAAAAUAGGAACUACACAGCACGUUUAACAACUUUAGCAAAUCAGUAGUAUCUAAGACAAUUUCUAACACUCCUCCUUGUCUUUGAUGCUGCAAACUCCCAUUUUAUUUCUUGAAUCUUCAAAUUUAGCUUUAGGCAAAACUUUAGUAAAACCAUCAGCAACCACCUGGUCCUCAGUUCUACAAUAAACUAACAACACUUCUCCUUCUUUUUAAAUUUACCUCAGAAAGUAGAACUUAAUCUUGAAAUGCUUUGUCUUUCCAUGAAAUACUGGAUUAGAUGAGAUUGAUAUGGUUGCCUGAUUAUCAACAAAGAUUGGCGUUGGCUCUUGCUGUUCUUCAUUCAAAUCUUUGAGAAUUUUCCUAAGCCACAAAGCAUGGUUUGCAGCAGCAGCAACAAAUUCAGCCUACCUGCCCAAUCACUGUCAGAAAAACCAACUAACUUGAAAUUUUGACAGCAAGCAUACUUUACUCCAAAAUCAAUUGUUCCCUUUAUGUAUCUCACAACACGUUUUGCAGCUUGUAAAUAUUCCUCACUAGCACAAUGCAUAAAUCUAGAGAGGAGACUAACAACAUGCAUUAUGUCAAGUCUGGAGGCACUGAGGUACAUGAGACAGCCAAGUAAACUUCUAUAAUGAUUUCAUUCACUUUGACAGCACCAUCAUCUUUAUAGAAUUUUACUCUAGGCUGCAUAGGAGUGUCAACUGGCUUACACCCUUCCAUAUGAAACUCCUUUAGGAUCUCUUUUGCAUAUUUGCUUUGAUUGAUGAAGAUCUCAUUUUUCUUUUGUCUCACUUCCAAACUGAGAAAAUAAGACAUCAACCCAAGGUCUGUCGUUUCAAAUUCUUUGAACAUUUUAGCCUUAAAACAGUCAAUAAGCUCCUGUUUGCUUCCUGUAACAAGAAGAUCAUCAACAUAAAUAGAAACAAUGGUCAAAUCAGCACCAUUUUUCUUUAUAUAUAAAGUUGAUUCACUAAGACUUUUCACAAAGCCUAAGCUUAGCAAGUGAUCAUUCAUACGACUGUACCAAGCCCUUGGUGCUUGCUUAAGGCCAUACAAUGCCUUUUUAAGCAAAUACACUUUAUCUUCAUGCCCUUGCACAACAAAACCUUCUGGUUACUCGACAUAAAUUUCUUCCUCUAAAAGACCAUUCAAAAAUGCAGACUUGACAUCCAACUGAAAUACCUUCCAGCCUUUUUGAGCUGCCAUAGCCAACAAUAAUCUAAUAGUAUCAAGCCUUGCAACAGGAGCAAAAGUCUUUGAGAAGUCCACACCAAAGACUUGUGCAUAACCCUUCACAACAAGUCUUGCCUUAUGCUUAUUUAUUGAUCCAUCAGCAUUAAGCUUUGUUCGAAAGACCCAUUUCACCCCAAUAAUUUUUCUGUUUUGAGGUCUUUCAACAAGAUUCCAUGUUUGAUUUUUUUUCAAUCAUUUGCAUCUCUUCUUCCAUGGCAAGCUUCCAUUUUUGCUCCAUCAUUGCUUCAGCAACACUUGCAGGCUCUAAUAAUGCUACAUUGCAUCUUGCAUAAAUUUCAGAUAGCAACUGUAUACCACGAACUGGUUGUUCAUCAACAUCCUCAACAGUGGGCUGCUACAUACUCAAAUGUUGAAUAUUGUCACAUGCACUCCAAUUCAAUUGGUCCUCCUCCAUAAAAACAACAUCUCUACUUAUUAUGAUCUUCUCAUUUUAUGGCUGAAAUAUUCUAUAGGCCUUUGAGACACUGCUAUAGCCUAUGAAAAUUCCAGGCUCAGAUUUCUUGUCUAAUUUAUCUCUUUUAACCUGAGAAAUAUAAGAGAAACAAAAACAUCCAAACACUUUCAGAUUUGUGAGAGAGGGUUUGUGACCAUACCAUGCUUCGUAAGGAGUCUGUUUCUGGAGAGCUUUAGUAGGCAAUCUAUUCCGUAAAAAAACUGCAGUAUUAGCUGCUUCUGCCCAAAACUUUUUAGGAAGGUUUUUCUCAUGCAACAAGCAACAAGUCAUCUCCAUUAUAGUUCUAUUUUUCCGCUCACUUACUCCAUUUUGCUGGGGAGUAUAUGGAGUAGUUAAUUGAUGCUCGAUCCCUGCUUCUGCACAAAAUUUAUUGAACUGAUAUGAGGUAUGCUCUUUUCCAUUAUCAGAUCUUAACAUCAUCAUCUUACAUUUACUUUGUUUUUCAGCCCAUGUCUUGAAUCUCCAAAACACUCCAGCCACUUCUGAUUUGAAUCUAAGAAAAUAUAUCCAGCACAUUCGAGUUAAAUCAUCAAUAAAAGCAAUAUAAUACUUACUGCCUUUGAGUGAUGGUGUUUGAUAUGGCCCUCCAAGAUCAGUAUGAACAAGGUGAAGCUUUUGUGAGGCUCUCCAAGCUAUUUAGCAAAAGGCAAUCUGAUUUGUUUGCGAAAUUGACAAGCAUUGCAACUAGAUAUUUCCUUUUUAAGUGAAGCCAUGCCCUGUACCAACCCAUGUUUUUGCAUAAAUAAUAAAGCAGAAUGAUGAUAGUGACCCAACCUCUUGCGCCAAAGGUUAGUGGUUUUGACAGAGACUUGAUGAGCUGAAUACUCCUCCUCCAUCAGAUCAAGAGGGAAGCUUUUCCCCUUCAUUUUGAUUGUAAAUACCUCCAAUCCUUUUGCAUCUUUAAUAAUAUAGCUUAUGUUCUCAAAACACACCUUAAAACCUUUUUCAAGUAAUUGGCCAACACUUAAAAGAUUUUGAUCAAUAUCUAGAACGUAUAACACAUCAAUAAGGACUUUAGUUCUAGAAAUACUUUUAAUUGCAACUGAACCUUUACCUUUUGCAGAAAUAUAUUCUCCAUUUCCAACACGAACUUUUGAGGUUAAUGUCUUAUCAAGAACCUUAAAGAGUUCGAUAUUGUUGGACAUAUGAUUAGUGCCACCGCUGUCAACAAGCCAAGUAUCAGCCGAAGUAACAUAGCAAGAUGCCACAAAUAAUUGUUCUUCCUCCUCCUGAUUCAUAGCUUGAGCCUCAUUCACUACCUGAUUGCCUUUGUUUUUGCAAAUGUUGUCAAUAUGCCCCACCUGAUUGCAUGUGUUGUAUUUUGCAUCAGGUCUGCUCCAACAUCUAACAUGAGGAUUAUUGGUUCUGCCACAAUGUUGACAAGGGUGAUAAUUUCUUCCUUGGUUGCCUGCUGCACCAUUGUUGCUUGCUCCAAGAAAAGAAUUGCUUCCAACACCUGCACCUGGAUUGUCUUUGCUCUUCUUUCCCUUUUUUUUCUUAUUUUUCCAAGAGUCCUUAAGUUGCAACUUGGCUUGCAUUGCACCUUCAAUUGAACCAUCUUCUCUAAUCUGCCUUCUUUGCUCUUAUGCAUGAAGAGCAUUUAACAACUCAGCCAAGGAAAUUUCUGUAAAGUCAUGAACCUCCUCUAGUGCAGAAAUUUUAGCUUCAAAUCUUUCUGGUAAUGUUACCAGAAUCUUCUCAACAAUUCUGCUAUCUGGAAUUUUUUCACCAAGAAGUCUAAGCUUGUUGAUAAUAUCCAACAGCCUAUCAACAUACUCUUUUACAGUUUCAAAGUCUUUCAUCUUUUGUAGUUCAAGUUCCCUUAUGAGAUUCAAGAUACACAUGCUUUUGGUAUGCGCAUUACCUUGAAACUCUGUCUUGAGGUACUGCCAAAUGUGAAAGGCAGUCUCCAAGUUCAUAAUCCUGGUAAAAAGUGAUUCAGACACAGCCAAAUACAAACAUAUUUUGGCCUUAAACUUCUUUGUAGUUUUCAAGGUCUUCAACCACUGCUUCCCAAAGAUCCCAUACUUGUAGAUAAGCCGUCAUUUUAACUGCCCAUGAUUGAUAAUUUUCUCCCAUGAACACUGGAGGUGGGAUAGGACAAUAACCUUUUGAAGCCAUUUGAAUCAAGAUUUGAAACUUGGAGAGGGUUAGUAUUUCUGUAUAACACUCAACGGGAAAAAAAACUCACACUCAAACUAUCAUAGGUCCCUUAAGAUAAGGAGCUCUGAUACCAAUUGAUAGCAAAAACAGAGGACAGAACUGAACCCCACACUUUUCAUUUAAACAAAAUAUUAUUUAAAUACAAAAUAAAAAUAACUGAUGAUAAAGAUCAUGGUCCAUGAUUUUACCCACAAUCAAAACAUGGAAACAUGCUUAACAAAAAAAAAUAAUAAAUAAUAAAUUUCCUAAAACUUGGUUACAGACUUACAUGUUGUAGACCAAGUCAUUUAACAACCCACUUAAACAGAAAAAUAGGAACUACACAGCACGUUUAACAACUUUAGCAAAUCAGUAGCAUCUAAGACAAUUUCUAACACUUUUGAAGCAUGUUUGUGCUCAAGCCUAUGUCUCUCAAUUUAUAUCAACGCUUUACUGUGGUUCCCUUCCUUGAUAUGAAGUUUCUGGAAGUUACUCAUUUUGACCUUGCACUGCAAUAAAUUUAAGCAGAAUUGGACAGUAUAAUUUCUUUGACCAAAAAGAAGUAGAAUGAUCUGAAUUUCAUUGGUAUAAAGUUCUUAAUUUAUUUGCUUGAUGUAUGGUUAAAAUAGAUAAAGCAUUGAAGACGGUAAAGUGCAACGGAUGACCUGUAGUUAGCUUCUUUCUAAAGUCGUAAACUGGCAUAACUAUGCAAGGAUGUACUUAUUAUCCAUACGAUGAGAUGGUUUUCCAAUAUUACAUGUAUAUGCGGGUGUUAUGGUUAUUCACUGGAAGUAUAUGCUUCCCUUUCCUUUUUGGAUAUUGAAGAACAUGGAUGCACA